UACGUAGGUGGCAAGCGUUGUCCGGAAUUACUGGGCGUAAAGGGCGUGUAGGCGGCCAAUUAAGUCAGAUGUGAAAUCCCCGGGCUUAACCUGGGAACUGCAUUUGAGACUGGAUGGCUUGAGGACCGGAGAGGGUAGUGGAAUUCCUAGUGUAGCGGUGAAAUGCGUAGAUAUUAGGAGGAACACCAGUGGCGAAGGCGACUACCUGGACGGCACCUGACGCUGAGGCGCGAAAGCCAGGGUAGCAAACGGGAUUAGAUACCCCGGUAGUCCUGGCCGUAAACGAUGGGUACUAGGUGUAGGAGGUAUCGACCCCUUCUGUGCCGCAGUUAACACAAUAAGUACCCCGCCUGGGGAGUACGGCCGCAAGGUUGAA
This 376-nucleotide ribosomal RNA is filed under the name uncultured bacterium. RNAcentral describes it as "bacterial SSU rRNA". It matches the Rfam family "Bacterial small subunit ribosomal RNA", at positions 524 to 898 of the family's 1533-position model. The record is from RNAcentral.